This is a long non-coding RNA of Manacus vitellinus (golden-collared manakin), 2139 nucleotides long. RefSeq lists it as uncharacterized. NCBI's taxonomy places the organism in Eukaryota, Metazoa, Chordata, Aves, Passeriformes, Pipridae. The record is from RefSeq and is a predicted model, not a curated record. The transcript is spliced from 7 exons.
CUGGUGCCCUCUGAGACAGCUCUUUUGGACAAGUAUCAAAGAAACUCUCCAGGUGUUCCACUUGCCAGUAGGGCCAGGGCUCACUCCUCUCUUCCCUCUGCCUGGCUUUGCUGGCUGCAUUCCUUCAUUCUGGUGACACAUCCUCAAGCUUCCUCAGUGCAGGCAAUGGGAGGCAAAGGGUGGUGCAGGGUCUGUAGAGCAGGGUUUCAGAGAGUCUCAGAAGUUAACGCUUGCACCAGCCAUUCCAGCUAACAGGGAUACUCAUGGAUGUUGUGUGCCUUCAGACUCUACCCAGCCCCCCUGAAGCUUUGGAGAUGCCUGCAGGUGGGACUGCCACCCAAGAGGAGCAGUCAGCUCACAGACUCUGCACUCUUCAGCAAGGGCUUGAUCUUGAAGAACAGCUUCAUCCAGGGCCAGUGUUUGACAUUCAUGAAUGCACGAAUGUUGUACUGGAUGCAGAAGAUGGACUCUCUGGAGCAUAAUUCAGAUGUGCAAUGAGUAUUUUCAGUCUGAAAAGUGUCAACACUUUCCCUCAAGCACAGUGAGUUUAAUUGAAGACAAAGAAUGUGUACCUUCUCUCCACCAUUCUCUGGUACUCCACCCUCAUCAGGAAGCCUCUGCACCUGGCCUGUGUGCGGGUGAUGAGCUGUGCCAGCUUCUCAUCCCUCAUCUCCUCCAGGAGCCCCAGCAGCCCAGCUUUGAAGAACACCUUAGAGAGGGAAUGUUGCAGCACAUCACUGUCAGGCCGGGCAAAGCACAGGCACAGAGGCCUGGAGUCCAGUAGAACUAGAAGCAAACCACAGCACAGUCAGAAGAGGCAGAAUCAGAGAAAUCCCUGGAUAAAGAUGGUCCUGCACAGACAUAAGGUGUGGGCAAAGUGCUGAUGUGAUGACAUCCAAGCAUGAUGAAAACAGGUCCCAUCCCACUUUCUAUUUAAAAAUCCUGGUCAUGUGGACACUCAGAUAGGCUCUUUCUCUUUAGGAUGCUGAGAUACCAGUGUCAUCUCUUUCACUUUUCCUAUGUCUGCUAAACUGUUUGGCAUUAUGUCCAGAAUAGUGAAGGGCAGUCAUUACCAAGUCCUUCCCCUGCUUAUCACUUACUAUUUGCAGGAAUGUUUCAGAAAAGGAUGUGAUUUCAUCAAAGAUUGCCUAAAUUCACUUCUACUGGGAAAUUAGUAUUUAGUAUCAGUGCCCUUAUAUUUUAGGGAAAGAAAAAAAUUAUUUAUUUCAGUGCCUUGAUUCUACCUUAAAAACAUGUAUGGCAAUGUGAGAACUAGCUAUGGAAAAUCACUUUCUGGUCUAAUGUUUUUUCUUGCCAGACUCUGUAACUCAUACAGAGUAGAGUAGUAUCCCCCCAAAAUAAAUGGCAAUAUUUCAAUUCCAGAAUCAGGACAUUAACAUAUAGCAUUUUUUAUGUAAAAAAACCCCCAACACCAUCACCCCAAAACAGCAGAGGCUGGGCUAGUGACAGACCCUUUCCUGGGAAAUACAAAAAUCAUGUGGGUUAGAACUACAUUACGAUUCUUCCAGAAAGUGCAAUGAUGUAGGAAGGAGUCUGAAGUUUCCUGACUUGGUCAUGAUUUCCCCACUGCCAAAAAAAGGAUCACAAAUCCUUGCAGGGCUUUCUCUCAAGUGCUGUUGUUGGCCAUGUUGUUGUUAGGGUAGGGCCUGCCUAGAGAGGUCAGUUUGCUCUGCAGCCUGUGAUGGACGUUCUGACAGGGAACACUCAGCCCCUGCUGCAGCAGCUUUUCUGCUGCCUCUGUGUAAAAUGAGAGCUGCCAGGAAUGUUAGCACAGGGCAAGCAGAAACAACCCUCUGUAGCAACACUGCUCAUCCCUGUACUUCUGCUAGGAUGUGGCUGGACACUGAACCCCAGAGAUGACUCUGCACUCUUCAGCAAGGGCUUGAUCUUGAAGAACAGCUUCAUCCAGGGCCAGUGUUUGACAUUCAUGAAUGCACGAAUGUUGUACUGGAUGCAGAAGAUGGACUCUCUGAAAGGAAGAAAGAGUGAAGUCUCUACUCUACCCGGAAAAGAGCCGAGACAGUCUGGAAAGAAGAACCCUUCUUCUUGGCACCUUUCUUGCCUGCACCGCUGGCCUCAGCUAAAUUAAAAAUAAAUAAAACAGAUUUUAGAUUUUUG